This 209-nucleotide ribosomal RNA is filed under the name uncultured bacterium. Its description in RNAcentral is "partial 16S ribosomal RNA". It matches the Rfam family "Bacterial small subunit ribosomal RNA", at positions 567 to 774 of the family's 1533-position model. The record is from RNAcentral.
UUGCGUAGGUGGUUAUAUAAGUGAAUAGUGAAAUCUGGCGGCUCAACCGUACAGGCUAUUAUUCAAACUGUAUAACUCGAGAAUGGUAGAGGUAACUGGAAUUUCUUGUGUAGGAGUGAAAUCCGUAGAUAUAAGAAGGAACACCAAUGGCGUAGGCAGGUUACUGGACCAUUUCUGACACUGAGGCACGAAAGCGUGGGGAGCGAACC